This is an RNA transcript of Dama dama (fallow deer), 1950 nucleotides long. It is a transcript of the gene named cytochrome P450 2J2-like, with no coding region annotated. Lineage: Eukaryota; Metazoa; Chordata; Mammalia; Artiodactyla; Cervidae. The record is from RefSeq and is a predicted model, not a curated record. The transcript is spliced from 10 exons.
UGCUGGCACCGUGGAGGCAGAGUACCGGGAGGACCUCUGCCGACUCGGACCGCGGAAGGGGGACCAGCGCAGCCAUGUUGGAGGCGUUGGGCUCCCUGGCGACUGACUUCUGGGCCGCGUUCCGUCCCGGCACUGUCCUGCUGGGAGCCGUCGUCUUUCUCCUCUUGGCUGAUCUCCUCAAAAGGCGGCGUCCAAAGAACUACCCGCCGGGGCCCCCGCGCCUGCCUUUCGUAGGCAACUUCUUCCAGUUGGACUUUGAGAAAGGGCACCUGUCGCUUCAGCGGUUUGUGAAGAAAUACGGGAACCUUUUUAGCCUGGAAUUCGGUGACUUGCCUUCAGUUGUUAUAACUGGAUUGCCCUUAAUCAAAGAAGUCCUUGUCCACCAGGACCAAAACUUUGUGAACCGCCCCAUAACCCCUAUUCGAGAACGUGUUUUUAAGAAAAAUGGCUUGAUCAUGUCCAAUGGCCACAUAUGGAAAGAGCAAAGAAGAUUCUCCCUGACAGCUCUGAGGAACUUUGGUUUAGGAAGGAAAAGCUUAGAGGAACAGAUACAGGAAGAAGCUGCCUACCUCAUCCAGACAAUAGGAGAGGAGAACGGACAGCCUUUCAACCCUCACUUCAAGAUCAACAAUGCAGUUUCCAAUAUUAUUUGCUCCAUCACCUUUGGGGAGCGGUUUGACUACCAGGAUGAUCAGUUCCAGGAGCUGCUGAGGCUGCUGGAUGCGGUCACCUACCUAGAGACAACAAUGUGGUGCCAGCUCUACAAUGUCUUUCCAAGGAUAAUGAACUUCCUUCCGGGUCCACACCAAAUGCUCUUCAGUAACUGGGGGAAACUGAAAAUGUUUGUUGCCCGUAUGAUUGAAAACCACAAGAGAGAUUGGAAUCCUACUGAAGCAAGAGAUUUCAUUGAUGCUUACUUCCAGGAGACAGAAAAACAUAAGGGCAGUGCUGCUUCAAGUUUCCAUGAAGAAAACCUUAUCUACAGCACCCUGGACCUCUUUUUUGCUGGAACAGAGACAACUUCAACCACCCUGCGCUGGGGGCUGCUCUACAUGGCCCUGAACCCCGAAAUCCAAGAAAAAGUCCAAGCUGAAAUCGAUAAGGUGCUUGGCGAGUCACGACAACCAAGCAUGGCUGCGCGAGAGUCCAUGCCCUACACCAACGCUGUCAUCCACGAGGUGCAGAGAAUGGGGAACAUCCUCCCUCUGAACGUGCCCAGGGAGGUAACAGUGGACACCACCCUGGCCGGAUACCACCUGCCCAAGGGCACCAUGGUGCUGACCAACCUGACUGCACUGCACAGGGACCCCGCAGAGUGGGCCACGCCCGACACGUUCAAUCCGGAGCAUUUUCUGGAGAAUGGACAGUUUAAGAAAAGGGAAGCCUUUCUGCCUUUUUCAUUAGGUGGCUGUGCUCAAACAAGCUGAAUACAUAAAGACCCAGAGGCUGACAGGCCCCACCUUUGCUCAGGUUUUACAAGAAGUCAUAAAAUAUUUCAGUCCUUGCUGGUACAGACACCACCUGAACAGGCCUCCAGACAAUGAAGAGUUAAGCCUGAAGUUCAGAAUGGGCCUGACCCUCUCCCCAGUCAGCCACCGCCUCUGUGCUGUUCCUCGGGCCUGAAGUUGCUGAGGAGAGAGAGGGGAAGGAAAGCAGGAAGAACGGGCCUGUCACCCCUCAAGGCACGGGGCCUGCUCAGAAGUGAGAGGACAGCAUCCAGUGACUGGGACAGGUCAUAGGAACUGGACUCAGAGGAAACUGGAUCCAGACCCCAGCUUUGCCAUCUCUAGUGGGGCACUGAGGAAAUCAGUUAUGUUGUGAGUGAUUUUGUUUUCAUCCAGAGGAUUUAAAUUGGACGAUGAUUCCUUCUCUAAAGGAAGAAUUGCUGUAAAAACCAGAGGACAUAAUGGGCUUUAAGUGUCUUGGAAAUAAAGUGCGUCAUAAAAGUCA